This is a long non-coding RNA of Columba livia (rock pigeon), 5430 nucleotides long. RefSeq lists it as uncharacterized. The record is from RefSeq and is a predicted model, not a curated record. The transcript is spliced from 3 exons. Lineage: Eukaryota; Metazoa; Chordata; Aves; Columbiformes; Columbidae.
UCACAAGUCCUGUAGACAAAAAAGAAGAAAUAGAUGCCUUUGUAAAUGUGUUCCUGUUUUUAUUUUUUUUUUUUAAGAAAAAAUAUGAGAUUUGUGCCAGCUGUGUUCAGGUGGUGAUCACUAAAAUAGAUUUCUGUCUCAAAAGAAAGUUCUGGACAUCUUCUCUGUGCUGGAUAAGACUACUGCAGCUGUAGAUCCUCUGAGGAAAACAAUCAAGGUCCAGAAACUGCAGGAAAGACUCCUUCCAGCAAUAUCAGAAGAUUCCAGCUCUAUAAUGAACUCCUUGGCGGUCAUCUGACCUCUUGCAGUCGAUGAGUUCCUCAGCUACAGCACAAGUAUCAGAUGUUUACAGGAGGGCAUGAGAAUGUAUCCUCAAGGAGAAGAGACUUCCCAAGAUCCAAUAUCAUCCUUUCACCCAGAUAAGUGAGAGAAUCAGAGCAUGCCUUUGAUGUUGUCAGCUUUGGCUUCAUCCCUUUAACCACUUCUGAAGAUGAUCCAGCUUCCUCUGGAUUGCGUUGGACGUGGGUUUUGGACAUAACAUUUGGACACCAAACUUGUUAUUUAAUUUGGAAGAUAUUAGACACCACCCUUUAUGCAGCACUGGAGGAAAACAGAGUCCAAGAAAAUUUUUCCAUAUAGUUCUCAGUAACAGGGAAUCCACACAGGGAGGUCUGAGUGCGUUGGAGGACUUGCGCACAGAAUUCAAACUACUUUUCUGUAGUAUCUCUAAAAUUUUCACCAUUUCUCAGAAAUACCUACCUACAGUUAGGUGUACAGGCUAUACAAUUCACCCUUUUGGUAGUUGUUUACCAACCCUUUCAUCUUAGAACUAUUUUGAAUCCUAGACUUUCUUCCUCUAGCAGAAUGAGAUAUUGCUAACAACACAUAUAAGAUGUUAUUUUAGAAAACUCUGGACUUGCUGGAAGCACUUCUAAGGUUUGCACAGCUUUUGGGCCCUUGUUGCAAGUGGACUUCGGAUCAUGCAGAGACAGUCAACAUCAUAACCAGCUGAAGUAUGUUUUCAGUGGAAUUUCAGUAAAAUUGAUAGGAAUUUACAAGACACAAAAGCCGUAAACAAGGUCAAAAAAUAUUUGACAAAAUGAACCCUUCAGCUUCUAGAUAUUUCUAGUUGUUUCCUCAUAAAGUAUUUCAAAGUUAUCAAUUUGCUCAAGUAAAAUCCUCAUUUGGAAAACAGUAACAAUUUGUCUAUGUGAGGCUGGGUUGACUUAUGAACUUCCAGUGGCGUCAGUACUAUUAUACCAAUGUGCUCCAGCUGAAGUAUCAACACAGGCUUUGGAAAGUUCACUGAUAAAAUUACAUAUGAAACAUAAGUAAGUCCAAGCUAAAAAGUUUGAUCACUCUUAUGGUUGCACUCUCCUUAACAUACAAACGUAUUUGGACCUUGAAACCUGGCUAGUGCCACGAUGUGACUGAGGUCCAGCAGCAAACCUCAUAUCGGUACUUCUGCAGCAUUCACAAGUUUUAGCUUUAGAAUUUGGCUCCAUCUUUCAAUUCCAGUGUUCCUAUGUGCUCAGGUUGAAGGGUGUGCAGCAGUCAUAUAAAACAAUCUGUGAAAAGCUUGAGCCAUUUAAGUGCGACUCCAAUGUAUUUAAAAGCAGCUUGGGACUGAUUUUUCUCUCCCUUAUCCUGGCUUUACAUUGAUGCUGUUCUCUUUAAUACUGUGUACUUCUUUUGGGGUUACAUUAGUGUAAGUGAGAGGAGAAUAAGGCUAAUUUACUUAGCUACAUACCUUCCCAAAGGGCACUUUAAAGUUUUAGCAUGUAUUCUUCUUCGUCUUUCUUCCCUUUUAAUCCUCCCUAAAGCUCAAAACAUCCGAGAAGGAUGAACAGAGAAAGUUUGUGUAACGGGUGAUCUUUCUUUAGAUAACUUAUCACCAAGACAGUGGGAGUUUUUUAUUCCUUCCACCCUGUCAGUAGGAAUUGGCUCCAAGAUACGAGAGAUUAGCUGAGCUUUAAUGACAAAGAAAGACAAACCAAAAAGAAUUAAAAGAAAAUAAGAGCCUUUACUCAGAUCAUAUUAAUGCUAAUUUUCUCAUUUCUUCGUUUUGUUACAAAGAAACCUUUAAAAGCACGUAUUAAAGAGGCUGUUAAGUGGAUCCAACUUGUUGUACAGUUAAUAACUUUUCAAUAUUUGCUACUUUAUCAUUAGCUUCUCAAAAAUUAUUUAAAAAACACCUAGUUUCUUGAUAGAUAAAACAAGUUGCCAGAGUCAAGUUGUUUUCUCCCCUCUAUUUUUUCAAGGGUGAACCAUUAGGUGGGAAUGGAGGACUGCAACUAGUCCUUUGUAGUCACCUUGUUGGCAAAGGUUGUUUGUAAAGAUGCUGUGAGUUAAAAUUUCCAAUUAUUGCUCAGUUAAUCAGGCCAUUGCUUUUGUACUCAUAGAGCUUAAGUAGUGUUUCUGAUCACCGCAUAAUUUAAAUUACUGGAACACAGUAAUCCUCACACCAAAACAAUGCAUCUGGAAACACAGCAACCCAGAGCAGCUGCUGGGCUGCCUCAUUAAACAACCAUUUGACAGAAUGCAGCCAGGCGGAUCCUAACACUCACCCUGGCAGGCAGUGGCAGCUCUGGAUAGCCAUGGGACUCAAGUUCAAAAACUUUCCAGGAACAUUAACUCAAAUUAAAAUGCAGAAGCCACCUUAGACCUGCAAUGAGUGCCUUGUUCUUUGAUGGUCUCAGGUGUGCUACUAAACUGUCCUGGGAGAGUGCUGGUGAUGCCAUCGAUUUCUGUGUGGAAAUUGGGAAAUGGUUGUGGACUUUGAUACUUCCACUGGUAAACACAACUGACUUCAUAAAUUUAAAUACCGUUGUCCAAUCAGGAAAUAGAGACAUGUCAUAUGACAUGAUUAUGUGUGACCACAGGAUAACUUUAAAAAAAAAAUGGUGAUGAACACAGCUCAGCAUCAUCCCUAGCAUCAAUUCGUAAAAGACAGGGAGGCGAAGAAUUGUCCAUAGGAGUUACUGGCAAGUAGCACAAAAUAAUAAAUAAUUUUAAAGACUCGGAAUGCAUAUAAAUGGCUUAAGUGUUGAUUAGUCUGCUCAGUAUUUGUUGACUGUUGCUGACACCAUUCUUCCUGACAAAAAAUUCUUUCCUCAUCAUCAUUCAGCUCAGAAAGGGUACAAGGCCUGUUUGCCCUAUACAGUAACACAUAGUUGAGGAUAGUCCUGAAACAGCCUUUCUAGACUGAACAGUAUCUUUCCUGAUGUCCUGGUGGAAACAGACUUUCCAUGGUACAGACCUAACACCCAGAGUUUUUGGAGCAUUUGUACAGCUCCAGGACCAGCUCACACUCACACAAGUCAUAAUGCAAACUUCUUAUUGUUGUUAAUGUUACUGACACUCUUUCAUGUCUAGCAAGACCCAGGUUUGCCUGCAUAACCCAUUUUAGGGGUAACUGACAAAGCUUCUUUGAGAUGGGCAGCACAAGCAACACAUAUUAAAAGGCUUGGUGCCUGCCCUAUCUCUCAUUGUCCACGCCUGUGCCACUGCACUGAUGGGGUCAUGAUCUCCCAGCAAGCCUUCUCAAGUGGUGGGAAGGGUAUCAACACUGACACAAGGGUCUGAACAGGGUCACUAGUGAAACCCCAAGGCCAUAAGCUCAGACAGACUAAACAACCACCCUAGCAGCUGUAGAAACCAGCCCUGUGGGUUGGCUCCCUCUGUGGUCCCCUGAAGGGGCAACUCAUGAUCUCUUCCCAACAUCACUGUCCCACCUAGGCCCUGCUGUGGCCUUUGGAGGACAGGGACUUCCUACCUAAGCAUGGCCAAGAGUCUACCUUUUAACUGAGACCACCAUAUCCCACAACGAAUGCUAUGACCAAAGUUCUCAAGCCAGGUAAUAGCUCUGGAGCUGAGAGGCAACGUUUUCUUUAUAAAUGGUGCAGCAGAGAACCCAAACUUACUGCUGUUUGUCCGAGUCUUUUGUGUUAGGCAAGAAAUGCCAGAAAGAAAAUGAUGUAAAAUUACCCUCUAUACCAUCUUGGUGCAUACCAAAAAAGACAACAGCUUUGCUGUUGAAGCCAAGAAAUGCCUUCUUAUAAUAGCGUGAGAGCAUUGUCAGCCACCAGCAGGAAGGGCACCAGCACAGGAGUGUGGCAUCUCGCAGAGACAGCCUGGCAUUGCCAGUUCCCAGGGCAGCCCAGCCCCUCUGAGCACAGCACCAGAAACCAGAGGCAGGAAAAGACUAAGGCAGUCUUGAGGAACCUGGCAUUGCAGUGCACAAGUUAAUUUAAGAUUUCUCCCCCUCCCGCUGCUGUUAAUGGGUGUUCCAGCCAUCAAGGCAGUUUGGAGGUUAAUCGUGAGCGUAAGAAAGUACUAUAAUUGGAUGCAAAGGUCUGAACACUCCAGGGAUAAAAAACCACUGUUCAUUCCAGGAACAUUUUAGCAACUGUUGACUGGUAGAAAGUAAACAGAUUUCAAAAAGUGUCAGCAUGCCAUACCACUACAUGCCAUUCCAAGAUGAACAUUGUUCCUAAAUAUAUUUCCUGUGAGUGAAGGAGGAAAACAAAUCUAAAUUUAAAGAAAUAAAAUCAAACCAGAUGUGCACAAGAAUAUGUUUUUGUCUCUUUUUUUUCUUUUUUCUUUUUUCUUUUUCUUUUUCAAUAAAGGUUUUUCUUUACUUUAGAGGUACGAAGUCAAUAAAUGUAAUCCGAGAGCUGGCAUGGCAUUUGUUACCACCCCAUUGAGCGCCCCUGCUAUCCUUUGUAGCUACACUCAUUUGCCAGUUUCUCAGAAUAUGUAAUUGAGUGCAGGAAUGCAGCAAAUACUUAAAACUGAUGAAGGCCUUUUAGACUUAUCAAAACCACUUGUGCUUUCAUGAUUGUGCAAGGUGUGAUGCUGAGCUUUGGCAUAUUAUGAAAAAUAGCUGUCAGUACAUGUAACUCAUUAGACUAUUGCCAAGAAACAUACACUAGAUGACCUUUAUGUUGAAGUUUGUCUGUCUGUUCAGUUCACUGCUGUAGACACUUCUGGAGUCUUUCUACCUGCAAUUAAAACUCAUUUACAGGUCUCCUAUUUGCUGAUGGUCAAUGUCAUUAUACAUACUAUAUCAUAUCCAGUACUGGAAUAUGAGUGAUUCCAAGUCAGAAAGUAUUAUUGCAGGUGUCUGACUGGAAAACAAAGACUUCUUUUAAACAGGAAAAAGUUUUAGGUAAGUGUGAAUAUUUGCUCAAAUUCCUUUUCCUUUUCUUUCUUUUUUUUUUUUUGACAGGUGUGAACAAGCAUGUCAGUUCUUGCAGGUUGUCUUCUGUCCAUGUCACUCCUCUCUUUCAGACUGAGCCUUUGUGGGUAUGGCACCAUGAUGCCAAGCGUGCUUGUCCCAAAGGAGAUUUUAGUUGGCUUUCAGAUGCCAAAAAUGGGUCAAAUCGAACAACAUGACACAGACAGCCAACUUCCACACAGUAGCAUGGA